Molecule: ribosomal RNA, 550 nt
Filed under: uncultured bacterium
Lineage: Bacteria
Description: bacterial SSU rRNA
Rfam family: Bacterial small subunit ribosomal RNA
Source: RNAcentral
UAGGGAAUCUUCGGCAAUGGGGGCAACCCUGACCGAGCAACGCCGCGUGAGUGAAGAAGGUUUUCGGAUCGUAAAGCUCUGUUGUAAGAGAAGAACGAGUGUGAGAGUGGAAAGUUCACGCUGUGACGGUAUCUUACCAGAAAGGGACGGCUAACUACGUGCCAGCAGCCGCGGUAAUACGUAGGUCCCGAGCGUUAUCCGGAUUUAUUGGGCGUAAAGCGAGCGCAGGCGGUUAGAUAAGUCUGAAGUUAAAGGCUGUGGCUUAACCAUAGUACGCUUUGGAAACUGUUUAACUUGAGUGCAAGAGGGGAGAGUGGAAUUCCAUGUGUAGCGGUGAAAUGCGUAGAUAUAUGGAGGAACACCGGUGGCGAAAGCGGCUCUCUGGCUUGUAACUGACGCUGAGGCUCGAAAGCGUGGGGAGCAAACAGGAUUAGAUACCCUGGUAGUCCACGCCGUAAACGAUGAGUGCUAGGUGUUAGACCCUUUCCGGGGUUUAGUGCCGUAGCUAACGCAUUAAGCACUCCGCCUGGGGAGUACGACCGCAAGGUUG